RNAcentral lists this unclassified non-coding RNA (221 nucleotides) under Seiridium cupressi. RNAcentral's name for it is "ITS1". Lineage: Eukaryota; Fungi; Ascomycota; Sordariomycetes; Amphisphaeriales; Sporocadaceae. The record is from RNAcentral.
AAGUCGUACAGUCUCGUGUGACACGAGGAUAUUAGUAUCUAACUCCAAACCAUGUGAACUUACCUUUGUUGCCUCGGCAGGAGCUACUCGUACCUACCUGGAACAGCCUACCUGGAGCGAUCCGGCUGGCCUACCUGGAACGGUCUGGUGGUCGACUGCCGGUGGACCAUUCAACUCUUGUUAUUUUAUUGUAAUCUGAGCGUCUUAUUUUAAUAAGUCAA